AGCAGCCGCGGUAAUUCCAGCUCCAAUAGCGUAUAUUAAAGUUGUUGCAGUUAAAAAGCUCGUAGUUGAAUUUCGGGAUCAAGGAAUCGGUCAUGCCUCGGUAUGUACUGGUUUUAUUGGUUCUCACCUUCUAAAGAACCAUGAUGUCAUUCAUUUGAUGUUAUGGGGAAUUAGGACUGUUACCUUGAAAAAAUUAGAGUGUUUAAAGCAGGCUUACGCUUGAAUACAUUAGCAUGGAAUAAUGAAAUAGGACAUCAGAUUCUAUUUUGUUGGUUUCUAGGAUCGAUGUAAUGAUUAAUAGGGAUAGUUGGGGGCAUUAGUAUUCAAUUGUCAGAGGUGAAAUUCUUGGAUUUAUUGAAGACUAACUACUGCGAAAGCAUUUGCCAAGGAUGUUUUCAUUAAUCAAGAACGAAAGUUAGGGGAUCGAAGACGAUCGGAUACCGUCGUAGUCUUAACCAUAAACUAUGCCGACUAGGGAUCGGAUGAUGUUUUAUUUUUAGUGACUCAU
Molecule: ribosomal RNA, 508 nt
Filed under: uncultured Glomus
Lineage: Eukaryota; Fungi; Glomeromycota; Glomeromycetes; Glomerales; Glomeraceae
Description: SSU rRNA
Rfam family: Eukaryotic small subunit ribosomal RNA
Source: RNAcentral